RNAcentral lists this microRNA (22 nucleotides) under Gallus gallus (chicken). RNAcentral's name for it is "gga-miR-6561-5p". Lineage: Eukaryota; Metazoa; Chordata; Aves; Galliformes; Phasianidae. The record is from miRBase by way of RNAcentral.
UCUUUCCAGGCAGGAGCUCCCU